Molecule: transfer RNA, 74 nt
Filed under: Streptococcus suis
Lineage: Bacteria; Bacillati; Bacillota; Bacilli; Lactobacillales; Streptococcaceae
Also listed under: 1 other name
Description: tRNA-Ile
Rfam family: tRNA
About the family: Transfer RNA (tRNA) molecules are approximately 80 nucleotides in length. Their secondary structure includes four short double-helical elements and three loops (D, anti-codon, and T loops). Further hydrogen bonds mediate the characteristic L-shaped molecular structure. tRNAs have two regions of fundamental functional importance: the anti-codon, which is responsible for specific mRNA codon recognition, and the 3' end, to which the tRNAs corresponding amino acid is attached (by aminoacyl-tRNA synthetases). tRNAs cope with the degeneracy of the genetic code in two manners: having more than one tRNA (with a specific anti-codon) for a particular amino acid; and 'wobble' base-pairing, i.e. permitting non-standard base-pairing at the 3rd anti-codon position.
Source: RNAcentral
GGGCGCGUAGCUCAGAUGGUUAGAGCGCACGCCUGAUAAGCGUGAGGUCAGUGGUUCGAUUCCACUCGUGCCCA